RNAcentral lists this ribosomal RNA (253 nucleotides) under uncultured bacterium. RNAcentral describes it as "partial 16S ribosomal RNA". It matches the Rfam family "Bacterial small subunit ribosomal RNA", at positions 524 to 776 of the family's 1533-position model. The record is from RNAcentral.
UACGGAGGAUGCAAGCGUUAUCCGGAAUGAUUGGGCGUAAAGCGUCCGCAGGUGGCUAUGUAAGUCUGCUGUUAAAGAGUGAGGCUCAACCUCAUAAGAGCAGUGGAAACUACAUGGCUAGAGUGCGUUCGGGGCAGAGGGAAUUCCUGGUGUAGCGGUGAAAUGCGUAGAGAUCAGGAAGAACACCGGUGGCGAAAGCGCUCUGCUAGGCCGCAACUGACACUGAGGGGCGAAAGCUAGGGGAGCGAAUGGG